RNAcentral lists this ribosomal RNA (458 nucleotides) under uncultured bacterium. RNAcentral describes it as "partial 16S ribosomal RNA". It matches the Rfam family "Bacterial small subunit ribosomal RNA", at positions 338 to 795 of the family's 1533-position model. The record is from RNAcentral.
CCUACGGGAGGCAGCAGUGAGGAAUAUUGGUCAAUGGGCGAGAGCCUGAACCAGCCAAGCCGCGUGAGGGAGUACUGCCCUAUGGGUUGUAAACCUCUUUUGUCGGGGAGCAAAAGCCGGACGUGUUCGGCUGUGAGAGUACCCGAAGAAAAAGCAUCGGCUAACUCCGUACCAGCAGCCGCGGUAAUACGGAGGCUGCGAGCGUUAGCAGGAUUUAUUGGGUUUAAAGGGUGCGCAGGCGGAUUUUUUAGGUAGCGGUAAAUGCGCGGGGCUCAACCCCAUCCAGCCGUUGAAACUGGGGAUCUAGAGUGUGCGAGAGGUGUGCGGAAUGCGUGGUGUAGCGGUGAAAUGCAUAGAUAUCACGCAGAACACCGAUUGCGAAGGCAGCAUACCGGUGCACAACUGACGCUCAGGCACGAAAGCGUGGGUAUCGAACAGGAUUAGAUACCCUAGUAGUC